This 334-nucleotide ribosomal RNA is filed under the name uncultured bacterium. RNAcentral describes it as "bacterial SSU rRNA". It matches the Rfam family "Bacterial small subunit ribosomal RNA", at positions 173 to 507 of the family's 1533-position model. The record is from RNAcentral.
AACAUUGCGAGAGGGCAUCUGAUUGCAAUUAAAGUUUCGACGGUAUAUGAUUGGUGUGCGUUUGAUUAGCUUGUUGGUAGGGUAACGGCCUACCAAGGCGACGAUCAAUAGCUGGCGUGAGAGCGCGACCAGCCACACUGGAACUGAGACACGGUCCAGACUCCUACGGGAGGCAGCAGUAGGGAAUAUUGGACAAUGGGCGAAAGCCUGAUCCAGCCAUGCCGCGUGAUAGAUGAAGGCCCUCUGGGUUGUAAAUAUCUUUUAUCUGGGAAGAAACUCCUCUAUUCUUAGAGGCCUGACGGUACCAGAGGAAUAAGCACCGGCUAACUCCGUG